UUCCUCACUCAUCUGCAACCUCUGUCUCUCUCUCCAUCUAAACAUCUGGGAUUCUUCUUCUACUACUUAUCCAGCGAUACACAAACCCGUUCCCAUGGUGGUUAUAGAUCUGCGAUUGACAAAUAGAGAGACAGAGACGUACGGUGAUUAUAGAGUGAGAAGCAGAGAUAGAGAUUGGCAUUGCCUCGCUGUUGCCGGCGGCGACGGACUUAAAGCGUGUGUUCCUUCAUUUGCUCUCUGUUUCUCACUUUAAAUUUUUUGCAUUGAGUAGAUGAUAUAGCGAUGGUGUUGGUUUUUUACCGACGACCCUAUUCGGUCGUCUUGUGUUUCCAAUCAGUGGCCAUGAUGAAUUGAAGUUUAUCCUAAAAUCGAUGACCAUGAUGCUAACUUCAUCGAUUAACCAAAUAGGGUGGUGCUGAUCAUGGGAGUGUUGUUCUUGAUGGACAACAUCUUGAAUAUAUGCUGAAUUUGGUUUGGUUCGAAGGAGUUGAUUAGUAGGGACGUCGUUGGACUCUAGAAGUGCAUUUUUGGGAAGGGAUUGAUGGAUAGUACUGAUGAUUUGAGUUUCAAAAUUAUUUUUUCUGGAGAUGGAGCUGGAAGGUUGCGGGAUCGAGUGAGGGAAAAGCUGAAGGAAUUUAUGGGCGACUGCACAUAUGACACUCUUGUGGGUUCACGAAAGGGCUGUGAUGAGUUUGAGGGCCUGAGAAAAGGUUACUGAAGCUAUUUGCAGGUACGCGCUGUGUGCAAGCCUUUGAAGGCGUUUGGAAUACAUAAAGUGAGUCUACAUUCAAGGGCCUCCGUAGAUCAUCAGGUUCAUGGGUAAUAUACGUAAACCUUUGUAAACUUAACUACAGCAAACAGUGCAUGCAGAUAUGAUUCUUU
RNAcentral lists this long non-coding RNA (882 nucleotides) under Helianthus annuus (common sunflower). Lineage: Eukaryota; Viridiplantae; Streptophyta; Magnoliopsida; Asterales; Asteraceae. The record is from RNAcentral.